GGAAUAUAAGUGAAUCAUGGGGUGGUUUUCCUCAUACUGUUCUCAUGGCAGUGAAAAAGUCUCACAAGAUCUGAUGGUUUAAUAAGGGGUUUCCUUUUUCACUUGGCUUUCAUUCUCCUUAUCUACCACCAUGUAAGACAUGCCUUUCGCCUUCCACCGUGAUUAUGAGGCCUCCCCAGCCACGUGGAACUCAUACACUUAAUAAUUCAUUACCUAUUAAGGUUAAGAGUAUGAACCUUACCAACAGGUAAAAAUGUGUCAUAUUAAUUUUUUCAACAUCAACAAACACGUCAAAAGAUGGAGCACUGAAAGCUGCAUUUUAAACAAAUGCCCCAGGUAAUGUAUACUGAAAAUGCAAUCCUGAUGUCCUAGGUGGCAGGAUUAUUGUUGUUGGAGAAUGCUCCUGUAAAUUUCUUUUCCAGUCUUCUCUCCUCACUUUCCAUGCCUAAGGAGUCUAAGUCCCACUGCCCCUGCUAAUUGUCCCUGGUUAAUUAGAAUGGAGAAUGACCCCUGAACCAACAUGGGCCCAUGAGCCGCACUGGUGAAUUGUCAUUCAGACCCAAAGGCUAGUCAGUCUCCCUGGGCAUUGAGAAGCAACAGAAAGCAAGUAUGUUCUUUGAUUACAGACUAAUUUUCUAGCCCCAGAGUUGGAACUAAAAUAUGCAGAUAGGAUAGUGGCAAGAGACAGACAAAUGCCUAGGCAGAUAAGGGGUGUCCCUGGAGAACCUCUGACCUGCCCAGGUCAUUGUGCACCAGGGUUUUGCCUAAACAUGCCCAUGGUGAAAAAUUUCAUCCCUUAACACAUGCAGUGUACAGUGGCUCAGACUAAGGGCCUGCAGGCACAUUGGAAAGACAGGGUAGAGCCACCAAAAAUUCGCUCCUUAUGCAGGGGAAGAGCCUGGCCUCCAGCUUGUGUGUGGUGGCCUGGUAUUCAAUUUGUGAGAUGGAAACCUGUGUCCAGGACCCCUCUCUUUGCUGACAGCUUUCCUUUCGCUUAAUAAAUUCCAUCCUCCUCACCUGUCAAUGUGUCCACAUGCCUAAUUUUUCCUGGUUUGAGACAAGAACCCGGAUUUAGCUCAACUAACAAGCAAAAAAUCCUGCAUCAGAUCUACAGAUAGAUAGACAUAGAUCUAGAUAUAGAUACAGAUACAGGUGUAGACACAGAUGUAGAUACAAAUACAGAUAAACGUAUCUUUACAGAGAACACACCCACAUAGUAUGAGUAAAACAAAAAAUUAACACCACUCCCCACGCCAAGUGUGUAAAAAGAGGACACUAGCUUAAGAGAAAUAAAGUCUUGUGGCUUAUUUCCCAGGAAGAUGAUAGUGUAUGCCAAAAAUGGAUGUAAUAUUUAGUCUCAGUUGAGAUUGCCUGUCUUACAUUUAAGGCAGAUGGGCUUCAACUACUAUAGCAGAUAGUUGGUGACCUAAGGCAGAAAGCUUUGUUACAAGGUGGCAGAUGGAAGGAGAGAGGUACAAACUCCCAAAAAUGACUCUCCCAGAGUCUCUUAAAAUACUCCUGGACAGGGAUGAUCAUCUUUGGCCCAUUUGCCAAGAAAAACUGAGAACAGAUUCCAUAAAGAAAAAAUUAAACAGAUAUGAGUAGAGAAAUGUGUCCUGCCCUUGGUUUGUAUGAGAUAUCAUAGAUUCCUCCUAAAAAAUCCCUUGCCUUGAUUUUUUUUCUUGAUAUCACAUGUGUAGUUUUCUGUUCUUUGUAAUGAAUUAAUUCCUAACCAAGAUAGCCACAAUAGGCAAACAAUUAGAAAUAUUAGACAUGAAUUUACAGGGUACCUUGGCUAUUUGUUUCAUUGAUGCCUGAAAUUCCAUAUUGGGUUUUUAUUUUUUAUGUCAUUUUUAAUUUCAUGUCAUUCUUUUGGUUUCCACUCAUUCAAAUAUAAAUAUCUCUGAGAAUAGCAAUUACUCCUAAGUCCAUACAUUGAGUAUACCCUCAGAAUUAUAUCAGAAAUUUUUCUUGUGAACACUUUUUGGUAGAGAAAAAAGCACCUGAUGUGGUAGGAGGGGUGGAAGUGAUGCUACUGUCCUUGCUGCCAACUUCCUCUACAGUGACUGCCCCUGCCACUGUGGGCUUCCUAAAGAUGGGGGUCUUCGUUCCUAAAGGAUGAUUCGGAGAGCCCCUUCUUACUGUGUUCUACCUGGCAGGAGUUGAGUUAGGCAUUUCAGAUGUAUUCAGGCAGGAAUUUCUCACAAUAACCCUAUGAUGUUGGCAUUAUUAUUAAUGUUCUACAGAUGAAGACUUACAGACUUAGAGGAUCAGAGUGGUAAAGAAACUAGCUCAGAAAGAGCUGAAUUGGAAUCCAGGUCUGUCUGCCUGACUCAAAGUCUGUGGGUUUUUUUGUUUUGUUUUUUUUGAGACGGAGUCUCGCUCUGUCACCCAG
RNAcentral lists this long non-coding RNA (2395 nucleotides) under Homo sapiens (human). RNAcentral describes it as "HSALNT0041429". The record is from RNAcentral. Lineage: Eukaryota; Metazoa; Chordata; Mammalia; Primates; Hominidae.